GACGAACGCUGGCGGCGUGCUUAACACAUGCAAGUCGAACGGUAAGGCCCUUUUGGGGUUACACGAUUGGCUAACGGGUGAGUAACACGUGCGUGAUUUGCCCUCCCCUUUCUGAUAAGUCUGUUCAACUGAGUCUAAUACCUGCUAGAACUACGCGCUGCCUGUCUGGUGGGGGUAGGCUUUUGCGGUGGGGGAUGGGCGCGCGGCCUAUCAGCUUGUUGGUGGGGUGGUGGCCUACCAAGGCGGCGACGGGUAGCCGGCCUGAGAGGGUGUCCGGCCACACUGGGACUGAGAUACGGCCCAGACUCCUACGGGAGGCAGCAGUGGGGAAUAUUGCACAAUGGGCGGAAGCCUGAUGCAGCGACGCCGCGUGGGGGAUGACGGCCUUCGGGUUGUAAACCCCUUUCAGCAGAGACGAAGCGUAAGUGACGGUAUGUGCAGAAGAAGCACCGGCUAACUACGUG
Molecule: ribosomal RNA, 464 nt
Filed under: uncultured bacterium
Lineage: Bacteria
Description: partial 16S ribosomal RNA
Rfam family: Bacterial small subunit ribosomal RNA
Source: RNAcentral